AUGGCUGGAUUCGGUGAUGCACUGAGGCCGGAUAAGUUUACCGGUGUGCACUUUAAGAGGUGGCAGGUGAAGACCACGCUCUGGCUUACUGCUCUGAAAGUUUUCCACGCUAGUGUUGGUGCUCCAGAGGGAAUGACCGACGAAGAUCGGAGAAAAUUCCAGGAAGCCAAUACUAUGUUUGUGGGAUGCAUUUUGAGUGUUCUUGCUGACCGUCUGUGUGAUGUGUACAUGCACAUAAAUGACGGAAAGAUUCUGUGGGAUGCACUGAAUGCAAAAUUCGGUGCAACAGAUGCAGGCAGUGAACUGUACAUCAUGGAGAGUUUUCAUGACUACAAGAUGGUGAAUAACCGUUCUGUGGUUGAACAAGCUCAUGAGAUACAGUGCAUUGUGAAGGAACUUGAACUCCUUAAAUGUGUUCUACCCGACAAAUUCGUGGCUGGGUGCAUGAUUGCAAAGUUGCCUCCUUCAUGGAGGAAUUUCGCCACAACUCUGAAGCAUAAGAGACAGGAGAUAUCAGUUGAAAAUCUGAUUGCAUCUCUUGAUAUUGAAGAAAAAGCUCGGGCUAAAGAUACUACUGAAAAAGGAGGUGAGGUUCAGCCUACUGCUAACAUGGUGCAGAGGUACCCACAGAACAAGAACAAAGGGAAGAACAAACCUGUUUUCAACAAGCCUACCAAGACUACUACCUUCAAGAAGAAGAAGUUCAACAAGGCUGAGCUAGAGUGCUACGCCUGUGGGAAGCCUGGACACUUUUCCAAGGAAUGCCCUGAACGUGCAGACCGCAGAGGGAAAACAAGCUCCAAGACUGUCAACAUGGUGACCGCUAGCAAUACUGAUGGGUAUGGUAAUUUACCUAUUGUGCUUUCAGUAUUUCAAUCAUCUUCGUGGUGGAUUGAUUCGGGUGCUAACGUUCAUGUGUGUGCUGACAUCUCCCUGUUUACUUCUUAUCAGGUCGCAAGGGAUUCUUCCAUCCUAAUGGGGAAUGGGUCACAUGCUUCUGUUCGUGGCAUUGGCAUGGUGGAUCUGAAGUUUACUUCGGGAAAGAUCGUGCAACUAAGGAACGUGUAG
This 1068-nucleotide ribosomal RNA is filed under the name Triticum aestivum (bread wheat). RNAcentral's name for it is "partial small subunit ribosomal RNA". Lineage: Eukaryota; Viridiplantae; Streptophyta; Magnoliopsida; Poales; Poaceae. The record is from RNAcentral.